This 409-nucleotide ribosomal RNA is filed under the name Carabus monilis. RNAcentral describes it as "SSU rRNA". It matches the Rfam family "Eukaryotic small subunit ribosomal RNA", at positions 1172 to 1489 of the family's 1831-position model. Lineage: Eukaryota; Metazoa; Arthropoda; Insecta; Coleoptera; Carabidae. The record is from RNAcentral.
AGGAGUGGAGCCUGCGGCUUAAUUUGACUCAACACGGGAAACCUCACCAGGCCCGGACACCGGAAGGAUUGACAGAUUGAGAGCUCUUUCUUGAUUCGGUGGGUGGUGGUGCAUGGCCGUUCUUAGUUGGUGGAGCGAUUUGUCUGGUUAAUUCCGAUAACGAACGAGACUCUAGCCUGCUAACUAGGCGUACUUUCCGGUAUCUCGAAGGCCAACGUCUCUCGGGGCUCCGUUCGGUGAGCAGUUUGCGCAUCGCUUCGGUGGUGUUGCGGCUGUGUGUCGUUCGGACCGGGAGUUCGUGGUUUUUACUACCGGCGUACAAUUGAAUCUUCUUAGAGGGACAGGCGGCUCCUAGCCGCACGAGAUUGAGCAAUAACAGGUCUGUGAUGCCCUUAGAUGUUCUGGGCCG